UCUCCGUAGGUGAACCUGCGGAGGGAUCAUUACUGAGUGAGGGCCCCCGGCCCGACCUCCAACCCUUUGUGUAUCUCGACCCUGUUGCCUCGGGGGCGACCCGGCCUUCGGGCGUCGGGGCCCCCGGUGGACCAUUAACACUGCAUCUGUGCGUCUGAGUGAUUAAAUCAAUCAAUUAAAACUUUCAACAACGGAUCUCUUGGUUCUGGCAUCGAUGAAGAACGCAGC
RNAcentral lists this unclassified non-coding RNA (228 nucleotides) under uncultured fungus. RNAcentral's name for it is "sequence contains ITS1, 5.8S rRNA gene". The stretch from base 180 to 228 matches the Rfam family "5.8S ribosomal RNA", at positions 1 to 49 of the family's 154-position model. Lineage: Eukaryota; Fungi. The record is from RNAcentral.